UACGUAGGGUGCAAGCGUUGUCCGGAAUUAUUGGGCGUAAAGAGCUCGUAGGCGGUCUGUUGCGUCGGCUGUGAAAACCCGGGGCUCAACUCCGGGCCUGCAGCCGAUACGGGCAGACUAGAGUUCGGCAGGGGAGACUGGAAUUCCUGGUGUAGCGGUGAAAUGCGCAGAUAUCAGGAGGAACACCGGUGGCGAAGGCGGGUCUCUGGGCCGAUACUGACGCUGAGGAGCGAAAGUGUGGGGAGCGAACAGG
RNAcentral lists this ribosomal RNA (253 nucleotides) under uncultured bacterium. RNAcentral's name for it is "partial 16S ribosomal RNA". It matches the Rfam family "Bacterial small subunit ribosomal RNA", at positions 524 to 776 of the family's 1533-position model. The record is from RNAcentral.